RNAcentral lists this ribosomal RNA (430 nucleotides) under uncultured bacterium. RNAcentral's name for it is "bacterial SSU rRNA". It matches the Rfam family "Bacterial small subunit ribosomal RNA", at positions 354 to 796 of the family's 1533-position model. The record is from RNAcentral.
GUGGGGAAUAUUGCGCAAUGGGCGAAAGCCUGACGCAGCAACGCCGCGUGAGGGAUGACGGCCUUCGGGUUGUAAACCUCUUUCAGCAGGGACGAAGCGAAAGUGACUGUACCUGCAGAAGAAGCGCCGGCUAACUACGUGCCAGCAGCCGCGGUAAUACGUAGGGCGCAAGCGUUGUCCGGAUUUAUUGGGCGUAAAGAGUUCGUAGGCGGUCUGUCGCGUCGGAAGUGAAAACCCGGAGCUCAACUCCGGGCCUGCUUUCGAUACGGGCAGACUUGAGUGUUGCAGGGGAGACUGGAAUUCCUGGUGUAGCGGUGGAAUGCGCAGAUAUCAGGAGGAACACCGGUGGCGAAGGCGGGUCUCUGGGCAACAACUGACGCUGAGGAACGAAAGCGUGGGGAGCGAACAGGAUUAGAAACCCCAGUAGUCC